Molecule: long non-coding RNA, 573 nt
Organism: Hevea brasiliensis (rubber tree)
Lineage: Eukaryota; Viridiplantae; Streptophyta; Magnoliopsida; Malpighiales; Euphorbiaceae
Exons: 2
Source: RefSeq, a predicted model, not a curated record
GGACCGCGGGGCAAAAUUUUAGAAUUUUUAGAGCUUGUUUGAGUGGGUUUUUGAAAAAUAUCAAUUAUAGGGACUAAAACGUAAUUUUUAAGAUUUUGAGUAUAGUCUGAUUUGGAGGGCCCAGGAGGGGCCAUGUGAUAUUAAUGAGAUGUGAUUGUGGAAAUUGAGAAUUUAGAAGUGUUAUUUGAGCCUCUUUGCAGGUUGGGUAGGUCCCAGGUAUAGGGGAAACUCUGCCGGAUUUCCGGCAUGAAUUAGGCUGUCUAUUGCCUCUUUAGAGUUUUAUUUUGAGUUAGUACUAAUAAAUUUAUAAUUUAAUUAUUAGGUGAUCGAGAUCAACUAUUUUCCUGCAUCCAGCAGCCACAAUAGUCGACGGUGUACUGCUACAGGAGGAGACAUUUUUCAGAAUAACCUGUCCCUUUCCUCUCAGGUUAUGAAAAGAUUACUUAAUUGUAUUAUUAUUCUCUAAAUUUGUAAUUUAGGACUCCGCAUGUGCUAGUAGUAGCAUUAAGCCUAUCAGAGACUGUAUGAAUUCAAGUUUUCAUAUUAAUAAAUGAAAAGAAAAAAAUUUUAUGA